GUAAAAUUAAUUAAGGUAAUCUACAGUAUUUGCAUAACCCUACUGACCAACCUGUUCAUAGAUUUCAAGUAAAGGUUAUUUAAAUUUUUUUUACACAGUUUAUCUUUGAGCAUAUUUGCAUUAUGUUUAAUUGAAAAAACAUAACCAUUUAAAAUCCUAUUUUUCAUAUUUUUUAUGCAUAUAAUGCUUAAAAAUUCUAAAUAUGUUUUAUUAGGGGCAAGAAUAUUUUUUUAGUGCAGAGACUCAGUGGUAGAGAACAGGUUGUGCUGGGAGAGUCAGAAACGUCACUGCAACUGACCCAUACAUACAGUAUGAAUGAGGUGAUGUCAGCGUUUAAACAAACUGUGAAGUUAGUGACAAAGGGAAAAUAAAGAAUGGUUUUGCUGUAUGCUGGUGUACAAUUCCCAUCAGUUCCUGUGUUGACUCACAACGUUGGGUAGCUAAAAGAACUCAGCUGUGUAUGUGUCUUGGUGUAAUACAUAAACAACUGUGUUUUUUAUUGAAGACUAAAACUAACAAGGAGUCGGUACCUGUUGUGAUAGUUUUUUUUAUAACUUGGUUUCAUUCCUCUAUGAUUUACUCACUAAAGUCAGGUCACAUGGUGUUACCUCAGAGAAAGUUAUAAAAGAGCAGAACUUACAGGUGGCCACACAUUACUGUAGAUGUGCACUGAAGUGAGGUGUGCAGGGAAACUUUAAAAUAACAUAGAUCUUGAAAGAACAAACCAUUUGGGUUCAAGAACAGACACAAUGUCUUUUGCACAUGCGCUAUCAAGUUUGCUGAUACUAACAGUGGCCAUAGAGCUUGUGACUGUAACAUCUGGUAAUUCAACCAUGACUGAGACAACAAUGGAAGGUCCAACAACAACUGAGGGGUCAACAUCAACUGACUAUUUAACAACAACAACUGAGGGGUCGACGUCAACUGACUAUUUAAUAACUGAGUGGUCAACAUCAACUGACUAUGUAACAACAACAACUGAAGGGUCAACAACAGCUACUGCAGGAACCAUAGUGACUGCUACAGAAACAACAACUGCUGGAACAACAACAGCAACUGCUACAGGAGCAACAACUGCUGACACAACAACUACUACUGGAACCACAACAACAACUGCGACUGGAGCAACAACUGCUGGAACAACAACAGCAACUGCUACAGGAGCAAAAACUGCUGGAACAGCAACUACUACUGGAACCACAACAACAACUGCUACAGGAACAGCAACUGCUGGAACAACAACUGCAGCUGGAACCACAACAACAACUCCUGCAGGAACCAUAGCGACUGCUACAGGAGCAACAACUGCUGGAACAACCACAGCAACUGCUACAGGAGCAACAACUGCUGGAACAACCACAGCAACUGCUACAGGAGCAACAACUGCUGGAACAACCACAGCAACUGCUCCAGGAGCAACAACUGCUGGAACAACCACAGCAACUGCUACAGGAGCAACAACUGCUGGAACAACCACAGCAACUGCUACAGGAGCAACAACUGCAACUGGAACCACAACAACAACUCCUGCAGGAACCAUAGCGACUGCUACAGGAACAACAACUGCUGGAACAACAACAGCAACUUCUACAGGAGCAACAACUGCUGGAACAACAAGUACUACUGGAACCACAACAACAAGUGCUACAGGAACCAUAGCAACUGCUGCAGGAACAACAACUGCUGGAACAACAACAGCAACUGCUGGAACAACAACAGCAACUGCUACAGGAGCAACAACUGCAGGGACAGCAACUACUACUGGAACCACAACAACUGCUACAGGAACAGCAACUGCUACAGGAACAACAACAACUUCAGCAGGAACCACAACAACUCUGACAGAAACAACUGCUGGAAGAACAAUUGCUUCUGGAACCACAACAACUGCUGCAGGAACCACAUCCACUACUGCUGAGCCACUCACUUCCAAUGAUUUCACAUUUAAAACCAAUGAGAACUUCACCCCAGAUUUGAAGAAUUCAUCAUCUCCAGGAUUUAAAGCUCGAUCCAAAAAAGUGAACAGCACAUUUGACCCUUUGCUCAGAAGUAACUUUCCCUCAUUUCGUGAUUUGGAAGUAACUGAAUUCAGAAAUGGAUCCAUAGACAAUUAUGUGAAGGCAUUUUUCCUAACUUCAAACCCUCCCAGUAAUGCUGCGUUUAAAGCUUUUCUGAUUACUGCAGCUAAAAACAUCACAGAGUUUAACAUCACUGCAAUUUUCUUCAAUGGCACUCAAGUGUCAAGUGGAGUAAGCUACGAGACCAGUCUCAUCACUGCAUCCUUCAUGAUGCUGCUAUCAUGGCUGCUAUCAAACCAGCAAUAG
Molecule: long non-coding RNA, 2324 nt
Organism: Betta splendens (Siamese fighting fish)
Lineage: Eukaryota; Metazoa; Chordata; Actinopteri; Anabantiformes; Osphronemidae
Product: mucin-22-like
Source: Ensembl